RNAcentral lists this ribosomal RNA (229 nucleotides) under uncultured bacterium. RNAcentral's name for it is "partial 16S ribosomal RNA". It matches the Rfam family "Bacterial small subunit ribosomal RNA", at positions 524 to 752 of the family's 1533-position model. The record is from RNAcentral.
UACGAAGGGGGCUAGCGUUGCUCGGAAUCACUGGGCGUAAAGGGUGCGUAGGCGGGUCUUUAAGUCAGGGGUGAAAUCCUGGAGCUCAACUCCAGAACUGCCUUUGAUACUGAGGAUCUUGAGUUCGGGAGAGGUGAGUGGAACUGCGAGUGUAGAGGUGAAAUUCGUAGAUAUUCGCAAGAACACCAGUGGCGAAGGCGGCUCACUGGCCCGAUACUGACGCUGAGGC